This 253-nucleotide ribosomal RNA is filed under the name uncultured bacterium. Its description in RNAcentral is "partial 16S ribosomal RNA". It matches the Rfam family "Bacterial small subunit ribosomal RNA", at positions 524 to 776 of the family's 1533-position model. The record is from RNAcentral.
UACGGAGGGUGCAAGCGUUGUCCGGAAUCACUGGGCGUAAAGGGCGCGUAGGCGGCUCAUGAAGGCUGUGGUGAAAGUCCGGGGCUCAACCUCGGAUCGGCCGUGGCGACUCGUGGGCUGGAGCACUGUAGAGGCGGGUGGAAUUCCCGGUGUAGUGGUGGAAUGCGCAGAUAUCAGGAGGAACACCGAUGGCGAAGGCAGGUCUCUGGGCCACUACUGACGCUGAGAAGCGAAAGCAUGGGGAGCGAACAGG